AGCAGCCGCGGUAAUUCCAGCUCCAAUAGCGUAUAUUAAAGUUGUUGCAGUUAAAAAGCUCGUAGUUGAAUUUCGGGGUUAGUAGAUUGGUCAUGCCUUUGGUAUGUACUGGUCUUACUGAUUCCUCCUUCCUGAUGAACCGUAAUGCCAUUAAUUUGGUGUUGCGGGGAGACUGGACUGUUACUUUGAAAAAAUUAGAGUGUUUAAAGCAAGCUAACGCUUGAAUACAUUAGCAUGGAAUAAUGAAAUAGGACGUUCGAUCUUAUUUUGUUGGUUUUCUAGGAUUGACGUAAUGAUUAAUAGGGAUAGUUGGGGGCAUUAGUAUUCAAUUGUCAGAGGUGAAAUUCUUGGAUUUAUUGAAGACUAACUACUGCGAAAGCAUUUGCCAAGGAUGUUUUCAUUAAUCAAGAACGAAAGUUAGGGGAUCGAAGACGAUCAGAUACCGUCGUA
RNAcentral lists this ribosomal RNA (450 nucleotides) under uncultured Glomeromycotina. Its description in RNAcentral is "SSU rRNA". It matches the Rfam family "Eukaryotic small subunit ribosomal RNA", at positions 569 to 1022 of the family's 1831-position model. The record is from RNAcentral. Lineage: Eukaryota; Fungi; Glomeromycota.